CUCUGAUUCAGAAGCCUCAAGCCCCUCGGUGAGGACCCGGGGUCUGAGGAUCUCAGCAAAACCCAUUCCACAGCCUCGUCCCAGUGAUGGUGAGUCGUUGGCGCCGCUCUGCCUCCGCGGAUGGUCCUGCGCAGGCCUGAGCCUAUCUGUGACCAGGCCCUGGUCUGUUCUGCGCCCUCCCUAACACUAAGGAUGGAGCUGAGCGCCAGCUUUGUGCUAGACGCCUUACAGACAUCGUCUCAUUCGGCCCUCACAACCCCUGUGAAAGGUAGAGAGACUUAGGCCGUGUCAACAGGGGUAACGGCAAACGUCAGAUGGCCAUCUGCGCCGAGGUGUUUCCGUCCUCCUGGGCUCACAGGUGCCCUGGAAGGGGAGCGCCCCGGUCCGCCUCCAGCCUGGAGCAGGAGACCCGGUUCUACUGCCCCGGGGAGGGUGCAGGGUGCGCCCCGGAGAGCGCCAGCACCUGCUCCGGAGCGAGGCCUGUGGAUGGGGGACCCUGGUUCUGCUGCGUCCUGGCUGUGUGGCCUUGGGCAAGUGACUGCGCCUCUCUGUGAAGUUGCCUCGUACGUAAAACGUGUGAAAGUAGCAUCUAUGACACGGUUGUGAGUAUUAAACGAGCUAAUACAGACAAAGCACUUAGCACCGUGCCCGGCACCCAGCAAGCUCUCCGUGAACUUUACAACCGCUGCUGCUCUGCCAUCAUCCUUCCUGACUCACGACAGCUCCCCGCGCGGACUCCUCGCCAGCUGACCUGGACAGAGCCCCUCUCUUCCUCUUUAGCCCUCCCACAGGGCCGGGCUAUCAAUCACAGAGAGCCCCGCCCAGAGGCGGGCGCAGGACUCGAGCUGGCCAAUCAGAGUACCCCCAUCCUCUAGGACUGAACCCACCAGCUCCGGAUGGGGACAGCGAGGGUUUGCGUGCACCCAGCGAAGAGAGCGGCAGAGCAGGGAUUCAAACCCGACACCGCUCAGCUUCUGCCUUCCCCGCGCUGCUUUGCCUCCGUGUUUCCCAGGGGCGCGGGGCAGUUGGGGCAGGACCACCGGGCCUCUUUCCCGCACUAAACAGUCAGCAUCUCCAGCUCCUGCUCUAAACGCCAGGAACAACACCCACCCCGCCAGUAAUUGUGACAACUCGAAACCCCCCAUCCAGGUCCAAAUGCCCCGCCCGAGGGCCGCUGCAUCAAACCCGAAUCCUAGCGCCGUCACCCUGAACCCGCAAAAGUCCAUCCGAAGGGGGCCGGACGCCUCCAGGGAGACCUGACCCCGCCGCUGCUCUCUUCCUAUUUCUGAGUCGAAAUCCAGCUCUGGUGUAAACGCCAGCCCGACUCUAAGCACGAUCACGUUCCUGAAUCGCUUGUUAAACUCGGUACCGACCUCGCUCGCAGACCCGGUCCUGCAGAGGCCGUCCCCGAUCUGUCUUCGGCCCAUCUAGAUGGACCCCUUCACUACACAUCCUCGCCUCAGCUCGCUCCUUUUUUAAAAUGUGCUCUCCACAGCCCUUCUGACUGUACAAUUCCCACCGGCUCGCGUCCUGUUCAACAACUUUCAAGGGUUUCUCAGUGCCCACCAGUGCCCACCAGUGCCCACCGGCAUGAAAUGUCAUCUCCAGUGUGGCACGAACACAACUUUCCAGUUGUAGCCAUUAGCACCAGGUUAGACUACAAGUAACAGAAAAUCCCCAUGUCACAGUGAAUUAAACAAGAUGGGUUUGCUUUCUUCUCUCUCUCUCUCUGUCUCUCUCUCUCUCUCUCAUCAAGGCUCCUAGCUGGUUACUCCAUGGUCACAGCUCACACUCCCAAGGUUGCCUCAUGGCCCAAGAUGGCUGCUACAGCUCCAACCAAUACGUCCUCUUUCCAAACGGUGGGAAGUAAAAAGUAACCAAGAAGGGUGUACCCCUCCUGUAAAGGACACUUCCCAGAAGCGGCACGCACACCUCCACUUACAUCCUGAGGGUCAGAAUUUGGCCACAUGGCUGCAAGGAAAACUGGGGUGUAUUUUUUUCUGGGUGUCCGUAUGCUCAGCUACAAAUCAGGGGUUUUAUUAUUAAGGAAGAAGAAGACAUAUUGGAGGAAAGUAGAUGCUUCUGGACCAUUCUCUCUCCUUCUCUAACCCUGAGAAGGACCUCAGUUUUGAAUCUCGUAUCAUCAGACUACACCAUUCUUUGAAGGAUUUGGUUCCUGGCUCACUGACUCUCCAGCACGUCCCUGUCCUAAUACGGGGUGAUUUCCAUGUCCAGGAAAAACCCUCCCAACGCCCAGUGUCUCGGUUCUUUGGCCUCCUUUUCUCUAAGAUCUUGCCCUCCACUUUCCUCUGCUGGGAGAUUUUCUCAUCACUUUAUCACAACUGACCGCCCAGAUUUCCACUCAAGCCCUCCCACCCUGACCCAGCCCACGCCUCGCUCCCCCACUCCCACCACCUCUCAACCUCCCCAGAAACUACGUCCACUGAGGGAUCUGUCACUUUGUCCCCUUCCCCUUAGCUUACAAAUAUGUUAUCUUCCUGGGCUUAAAAAAACAAAAACCGCCCUCUUGAAUCUACUUCCCCUGGAGAUACCGCCCCGUUUCUCUGCUCCCCUGGUCGUCCUCCGUUCCUCUGCCCCCUUUCUCUUUAAACCCUCUCCAAACAGGCUUGGACUGCCACCACCCACUCCUCCAAAACCGCCCUUGGCUGUGUCACCGUCAACCUCCGCGGUACGCACACAGACCAGCCACCUUGCCUCGCUCGCAGAUGCUGGCCGAGCCAGGCAGCCGGGCUUGGUGUCUGUGCUCAGGAUGCUGUGCUCCACUCUUAGGACUGUCUGCUCUCGCUCAGCGGUGCCAGACGCGGUUGCUCGCUCCCUCCUCCCUCUCUGGCUCCUUCUCAGGCUCCUUUGCUGGUCCCUCCUCACCUCCGGGGACAUCCUAAUAGUGCGGUGCCCCCUCCUCUGCGGUCCCCUCCCCCUCCCUCCUUCCCUCGGCCGGCCGUCUCAGCUGUUUACGGGCUCAUGACUCCUGGCUUUGUAUCUCUAGCCCACACCUUGCAUCCAGCUGCCCGAGGGACGUCACACCUGGAUGUCCAAUUGGCCCUUUAAACCAAAUGCCCGACACCGGACCCCUGAGCUUCCUCUCCGCAGUCCUCCUCGUCCCGGUUAAUGGGACCUGAAAGCAAAGCCUGGGUGUCACCCGGACCCCUCACCCCCUACACCCUAGCCUGUUGUGUCCACCACCUUAUCAUCCGGCCCCUGCAGCAGCCUCCUCGCUGGCCUGCUCGCCUCCCCAGCCCUCCUAAAUCUGCUCUCCACACAAACGCCACAGUGAUCACAUUAAAACUUGCUCAGAACCCUCCCAUGCUCCCCAGUUCUCACCAAGCAGGACCCAACAUUACCUUAACCCCUGGCUCCCCAGCCCCCAUCGCACCCCCAGUACUUCCAUGGCCUUGUCCACUACUCUCCCCCUCACUCACUCUGUUCCAGCUUUGCUAUUCUGCAAAUGUGGCAGAGCACGCUCCUACCUCAGGGCCUUUGCACUUGCUGUUCCAUCUGCCUGGAAUGCUCUUCCCGAGAUAUGGAUGUGGCUCAUCCCUCACCUCUUCAGACCUUUCCUCAAAUGUCACCUUCUCAGUGAGACCUUCCCUGAUCACGCUGUCUUAACUUGCAACCUUCCCUCCCCUCACACUUUUACACUUUUUCCUCUCUUCCCACU
This 3679-nucleotide long non-coding RNA is filed under the name Equus caballus (horse). Its description in RNAcentral is "lncRNA (ENSECAG00000051317.1)". Lineage: Eukaryota; Metazoa; Chordata; Mammalia; Perissodactyla; Equidae. The record is from RNAcentral.